Long non-coding RNA from Siniperca chuatsi (mandarin fish), 591 nucleotides. RefSeq lists it as uncharacterized. The record is from RefSeq and is a predicted model, not a curated record. The transcript is spliced from 2 exons. NCBI's taxonomy places the organism in Eukaryota, Metazoa, Chordata, Actinopteri, Centrarchiformes, Sinipercidae.
ACCGGCUUCAUAAGUUUGGCCGUUUUAAAGACCGGCAGAGAAUUGCCUAGGGAAAUAUCCCUGAGACUGAGUCCCUCCAGGAGCCGACCAGCUGUCUUGGUUUGCAGCAGCUCCUCAAACUCCACCUUUAUCUUUUUGGAUCCCAGCAAGCCAUGACAGUGUGACAGUGAGCCAGGAUGAGCAGUACCAGGACCCUGAAGCUGAGGCAGCUAAUACUGUCUGUGACACUCAGCCCAAAGCCCACUGACGCUGACUCUUAUCCCGCCCCACGGACACUGCCCGUUACAUCGAGUCUCCAUAUCUAACGUGACAUGUUACAUCAUCAUAAUCAUUGGAUUAUUAUUUUGCACAUUGCACAUAUUUUUCGUACUGUGAACAUUUACAUAUUUAGUCAAUAUUUUGCACAUUCCAUUCUCUUCAUUUUAAACAAUGUACAGUUCUUUUCACUUAAGAACUAUUUUAUAUUUAUGAUUGCUUGACUUUUACAGUGCUGUUUUUUCCUCUUACUUUGUAUAUUUUGACUGUUAUGCACUACAACACCUUCCUUGUAUGUGAAAACCUACUUAGCAAUAAACCUGUUUCUGAUUCUGA